GGCCCCUUUAUUUGGGGGCCUAGUGCUAAUUCCCCCUUGCCCCCUCCUAUUGGUAGUCAUGCAUGAUGUACAUGUGACUAGUAAUGUGUUAUCUUGUAAUAUUUUUAUGUAGAAAUGUUCAGCUAAUGGUACAGGAUGUGGUGUUUGUCAUUCAAGGGAUCUGUUGUUCAGGUUUAGUGAAGAUGUGGUUACAUGUCCUAACUGCUCCUCACACUUUCACUGGUUAUAGCAAGUUCCUGUUAAAGGUUCAAGUACAUUAGGUAUGUGUCAAUAUAAUUAUAUUGUUCUCUGUUCUAGUGUGGGCAGCAAUGUAGUGCCGCCUCCACGUGACACUGCCUGGGAUGACUAGUGGCUACUACUGCUAGUGAUGCUAAGAACACUACAUACAAGAAGAAUAGAUACUAACAGUAGCUAUGUAUGAUGAAUUACAUUCCAUUGUUAGGUUAAUGUCAAUAAGAGGAUAAGUACAAUUCUCUGCUAUUGAAGACUACAUUGAGAAGUUAAUUGUUUGCUGUUUGAAGCUGUACAUUAACUGAAGACUAUAAAGAAUUACAUAACAUUAUUGUUUAUAAUUUUAGUAUUUCUGUUUAAUACACAAAGUUAUCUUUUUAUCAUUGAUUAUUAUGAA
This is a long non-coding RNA of Amphimedon queenslandica, 628 nucleotides long. RefSeq lists it as uncharacterized. Lineage: Eukaryota; Metazoa; Porifera; Demospongiae; Haplosclerida; Niphatidae. The transcript has 3 exons. The record is from RefSeq and is a predicted model, not a curated record.